UACGUAGGUGGCGAGCGUUGUCCGGAAUUACUGGGUGUAAAGGGCGCGUAGGCGGGGAUGUAAGUCAGAUGUGAAAUACCGGGGCUUAACUUCGGGGCUGCAUCUGAAACUAUGUUUCUUGAGUGCUGGAGAGGAAAGCGGAAUUCCUAGUGUAGCGGUGAAAUGCGUAGAUAUUAGGAGGAACACCAGUGGCGAAGGCGGCUUUCUGGACAGUAACUGACGCUGAGGCGCGAAAGCGUGGGGAGCGAACAGGAUUAGAUACCCCCGUAGUCC
This 273-nucleotide ribosomal RNA is filed under the name uncultured bacterium. Its description in RNAcentral is "partial 16S ribosomal RNA". It matches the Rfam family "Bacterial small subunit ribosomal RNA", at positions 524 to 796 of the family's 1533-position model. The record is from RNAcentral.